CUAAUACAUGCAAGUCGAACGCUUCUUUUUCCACCGGAGCUUGCUCCACCGGAAAAAGAGGAGUGGCGAACGGGUGAGUAACACGUGGGUAACCUGCCCAUCAGAAGGGGAUAACACUUGGAAACAGGUGCUAAUACCGUAUAACAAUCGAAACCGCAUGGUUUUGAUUUGAAAGGCGCUUUCGGGUGUCGCUGAUGGAUGGACCCGCGGUGCAUUAGCUAGUUGGUGAGGUAACGGCUCACCAAGGCCACGAUGCAUAGCCGACCUGAGAGGGUGAUCGGCCACAUUGGGACUGAGACACGGCCCAAACUCCUACGGGAGGCAGCAGUAGGGAAUCUUCGGCAAUGGACGAAAGUCUGACCGAGCAACGCCGCGUGAGUGAAGAAGGUUUUCGGAUCGUAAAACUCUGUUGUUAGAGAAGAACAAGGAUGAGAGUAACUGUUCAUCCCUUGACGGUAUCUAACCAGAAAGCCACGGCUAACUACGUGCCAGCAGCCGCGGUAAUACGUAGGUGGCAAGCGUUGUCCGGAUUUAUUGGGCGUAAAGCGAGCGCAGGCGGUUUCUUAAGUCUGAUGUGAAAGCCCCCGGCUCAACCGGGGAGGGUCAUUGGAAACUGGGAGACUUGAGUGCAGAAGAGGAGAGUGGAAUUCCAUGUGUAGCGGUGA
RNAcentral lists this ribosomal RNA (665 nucleotides) under Enterococcus faecium. RNAcentral describes it as "bacterial SSU rRNA". It matches the Rfam family "Bacterial small subunit ribosomal RNA", at positions 48 to 684 of the family's 1533-position model. The record is from RNAcentral. Lineage: Bacteria; Bacillati; Bacillota; Bacilli; Lactobacillales; Enterococcaceae.